Non-coding RNA from Cajanus cajan (pigeon pea), 124 nucleotides. The record is from Rfam. NCBI's taxonomy places the organism in Eukaryota, Viridiplantae, Streptophyta, Magnoliopsida, Fabales, Fabaceae.
AUUCGGCGAUGACAAAUUGAAAGGCUUGUUUCUCUAAACAUUCGCAGUGGCCGCCUGAGAGCUUUCGCCUUCGCUGGGCCUGAGUGCUUAUGCUGCUUUUGUCCUUCCUUGGAUGUCUCAGUUU